GACGAACGCUGGCGGCGUGCUUAACACAUGCAAGUCGAACGGAAAGGCCCUGCUUUUGUGGGGUGCUCGAGUGGCGAACGGGUGAGUAACACGUGAGUAACCUGCCCUUGACUUUGGGAUAACUUCAGGAAACUGGGGCUAAUAUCGGAUAGGAGCUCCUGCUGCAUGGUGGGGGUUGGAAAGUUUCGGCGGUUGGGGAUGGACUCGCGGCUUAUCAGCUUGUUGGUGGGGUAGUGGCUUACUAAGGCUUUGACGGGUAGCCGGCCUGAGAGGGUGACCGGCCACAUUGGGACUGAGAUACGGCCCAGACUCCUACGGGAGGCAGCAGUGGGAAAUAUUGCACGAUGGGCGGAAGCCUGAUGCAGCAACGCCGCGUGCGGGAUGACGGCCUUCGGGUUGUAAACCGCUUUCGCCUGUAACGAAGCGUGAGUGACGGUAAUGGGUAAAGAAGCACCGGCUAACUACGUG
RNAcentral lists this ribosomal RNA (468 nucleotides) under uncultured bacterium. RNAcentral's name for it is "partial 16S ribosomal RNA". It matches the Rfam family "Bacterial small subunit ribosomal RNA", at positions 28 to 507 of the family's 1533-position model. The record is from RNAcentral.